Molecule: ribosomal RNA, 2837 nt
Filed under: Candidatus Amesbacteria bacterium GW2011_GWA2_42_12
Lineage: Bacteria; Candidatus Amesiibacteriota
Description: bacterial LSU rRNA
Rfam family: Bacterial large subunit ribosomal RNA
Source: RNAcentral
AAUAAGCAGAUAAUGGAUGCCUUGGACGCUAUAGACCGAAGAAGGACGUACAUGACCACGAUAGUCGCUGGGGAGCUGUCAAGAAGCUUUGAUCCGGCGGUGUCCGAAUGGGGAAACCCUCCCGAUUUUAUCGGGAAUCCCCCGCUUUUAGCGGGGAGAUGGGAACGCCUCGAACUGAAACAUCUAAGUAGGGGCAGGAAAAGAAAUCAACGAGAUUCCGUAAGUAAGCGGAGAGCGAAAGCGGAACAGUCUAAACCCAGGGCAGACAAUAUGAGAGAAAUAAGGAUAAUUAAAUAGUUUGGAAUGGCUAGCCAUAGAGCGUGAAAGCCGCGUAAAUACAAUUCUUAUUUCCUCUAGUUUGUACCCAAGUACCAUGAGGUACACUACCUUGUGGGAAUCCGGGGUGACCACACUCCAAGACUAAAUAUCAUAGCGUACCGAUAGUGAACUAGUACCGUGAGGGAAAGGCGAAAAGAAGGGUGAAAAACCUAGUGAAAUAGAACCUGAAAUUAUCUGCUAUCAAGCAGUGAGAGUCCCGAUUUAAUCGGGAUGAUCGCGUGCCUAUUGAAGAAUUAUCCGGCGAGUUUUUGAUUGUUGCAAGUUUAAGCCCGCUAAGCGGGCGGAGGCGUAGCGAAAGCGAGUCUUAACAGGGCGAUUAGCAGCAGUUGAAAGACCCGAAACCAGGUGAGCUAACCAUGAGCAGGGUGAACCCCGAUGAAAGUCGGGGGGAGGCCCGCACUCGUCAGAGUUACAAAUCUGUGAGAUGACUUGUGGUUAGAGGUAAUAUGCCUAUCGAACCUGGAGAUAGCUGGCUCUCCCCGAAAUAUAUAUAGGUAUAGCCUCUCUAAAGGGAAACAACCCAGAUUGUCGUCUAAGGUCUCUAAGUGAUACUUAAGUGUUAAACGAAGUCGAAUUCCCCAGACAACCAGGAGGUUGGCUCAGAAGCAGCCAUCCUUUAAAGAAAGCGUAACAGCUCACUGGUCGAUCACCGGGAGUUUGGCGCGAAAAAUUAACCGAGGCUAAAGUAUCCACCGAAGACACAGAUUGGGAAUGGUAGGGGAGCGUUGAGAGAACAGUGAAAUCCUUCUGUAAGGAUUAGGAUGGAGUGAUCUCAAGUGAUAAUGCCGGAAUGAGUAGCGCAAGUCCGAUGAGAAUUCGGACCGCCGAAAACCCAAGGUUUCCCCAGCUACAUUGUUUGACUGGGGGUGAGUCGGCACCUAAGGCGAGGCCCAAGAAGGCGUAACCGAUGGACGAGCCGUUGAUAUUCGGCUACAUAGUAAGUAUCGUUACCAGUUGGGGAUGGACAAAAGGAGAGUAAUCGAGCGCUUAUAGUGAAUGAGCGUUUAAGCUGUAAGACAGUUGGUCCUGGAAAAUCCGGGCCGGCGUUUAAUCGAGCAGUUAUGGAGAGUCCGAGUCGCAAGGUGAGGACAAUUUGAUGAUCUUUCUUUUUCAAGAAAAGAUUCGCAACGAGAUAUUUAUUAUGCCGUACCGUAAACCGACACUGGUGGGUUGGUCGAGAAGACUAAGGCGAUCGGGAAAAAGUAGUUCAAGGAACUCGGCAAAAAAGCUGGACGUAAUCUAGAGAGAUGUCCUGCCCGGUGUUACAACCGGGCCGCAGCAAAAGAGUGUUUUGCGACUGUUUAACUAAAACACAGGUCCGUGCGAACUCGAAAGAGGCGGUAUACGGGCUGAGACCUGCCCAGUGCUCGUAAGUUAAGUGAAUGGGUGAUCCCGCAAGGGUUAGCCUUGAAAUGAAGCUCGAGUGAACGGCAGCAGUAACUAUAACUGUCUAUGGUAGCGAAGUUCCUUGUCGGGUAAGGGUCAGUUCCGACCCGCACGAAAGGUUUAACGACAGAACAACUGUCUCGAACUAUUACCCGGCGAAAUUGAAAUGGCUGUGAAGAUGCGGCCUACCUCUACUAGGACAAAAAGACCCUAUGGAGCUUUACUGUACUCUGGCCCUGUUUUGGAUUUUAAGAUAGUUUAGUGUAGGAGGGAGUCUUCGGACAACGAUGAAACACCUCUCGUUUUGGAAUCUCAAAACUAACCUAUGACAGCUGAAAACGCUGUUGGAGACAAGGUCAGACGGGCAGUUUUACUGGGGAGGUAUCCUGCUAAAGAGUAACGCAGGAGUACCAAGGUGCACUAGGCUCGAAUGGAAACCGAGCGAGUCGUGUAACGGCAUAAGUGCGCUUGACUGUGAGAGGGACACCUCGAGCAGGUGGGAAACCAGGUCGUAGUGAUCCUCGGAUCCCUCGUGGGAGGGACCGGGCUUAACGGAUAAAAGCUACCCUAGGGAUAACAGGCUGAUCGCCGCCAAGAGUCCAUAUCGACGCGGCGGUUUGGCACCUCGAUGUCGGCUUUGCGCCUAGUGGGAUAACACGCUAAGCUCCCGAAUGAUGAUUUCGGGAUGAUGGUAUAGUCUAACCCUCGUAGAAAUGCGAGAAAUGGUUGCAUCCCAUCCUGGGGGGGCAGUACCUCCCAAGGGUCCGUCUGUUCGCCGGUUAAAGGGGUACGCGAGCUGGGUUCAGAACGUCGUAAGACAGUCGGUCUCUAUCCAGUAGGGGCGAGGGGUUUUUGAGGGAGUCUGACCUCAGUACGAGAGGACCAGGUUGGAGAGACCUCUGGUGUGCCGGUUGUAGCGUCAGCUGCAACGCCGGGUAGCUAUGUUUCUAUGGGAUAACCGCUGAAAGCAUAUAAGUGGGAAGCCCUACCCAAGAUGAGAAACCCAUUUCUGAUAGCAAUAUCGGGAGAGAGACUCGUGGAAGAAUACCACGUUAAUAGGUCAGCAGUGUACGCACGGUAACGUGUUUAGCUUACUGAUACUAAUAUGUCGA